This 374-nucleotide ribosomal RNA is filed under the name uncultured eukaryote. RNAcentral's name for it is "SSU rRNA". It matches the Rfam family "Eukaryotic small subunit ribosomal RNA", at positions 587 to 972 of the family's 1831-position model. The record is from RNAcentral.
AGCUCCAAUAGCGUAUAUUAAAGUUGUUGCAGUUAAAAAGCUCGUAGUUGGACUUCUGCGAUGUUGCCAAUGCCCGCCAUGUUGUGUGCGCAGCGGCGACUUCGCAUCCUUCUGUUAACGCCUCUUGGCAUUCAUUUGCUGGUGGCGGGCUCAGAUAUUUUACCUUGAGAAAAUUAGAGUGUUUCAGGCAGGCUAGGCCGGAAUACAUUAGCAUGGAAUAAUGGAAUAGGACUAUAGUCUCUUUGUUGGUUUGAGGGACUGCAGUAAUGAUUAAUAGGGAUAGUUGGGGGCAUUAGUACUUAACUGUCAGAGGUGAAAUUCUUGGAUUUGUUGAAGACGAGCUACUGCGAAAGCAUUUGCCAAAGAUGUUCUCA